GGACCCGCACAAGCGGUGGAGCAUGUGGUUUAAUUCGAUGCAACGCGAAAAAACCUUACCUACUCUUGACAUACUUGGAAGCUCUUGUAAUGAGAGUGUGCCUUUUGGAGCCAAGAUACAGGUGCUGCAUGGCUGUCGUCAGCUCGUGUCGUGAGAUGUUCCGUUAAGUCGGAUAACGAGCGCAACCCUUACCCUUAUUUGCCAGCGAUUCGGUCGGGAACUAUAAGGGGACUGCCGGUGAUAAACCGGAGGAAGGUGAGGACGACGUCAAGUCAUCAUGGCCCUUACGAGUAGGGCUACACACGUGCUACAAUGGGGAAUACAGACGGAGCUAAAGCCGGCGAGGUG
Molecule: ribosomal RNA, 348 nt
Filed under: uncultured bacterium
Lineage: Bacteria
Description: bacterial SSU rRNA
Rfam family: Bacterial small subunit ribosomal RNA
Source: RNAcentral